Molecule: ribosomal RNA, 303 nt
Filed under: Triticum aestivum (bread wheat)
Lineage: Eukaryota; Viridiplantae; Streptophyta; Magnoliopsida; Poales; Poaceae
Description: partial small subunit ribosomal RNA
Source: RNAcentral
AUGGACAAGUACACGAUUCGCAUCCUUGCACUAGCCCUGCUGUCUCUGUAUCUCGUAUGCUCUGCUACUGUUGCUCAAUGCCAAAUCAUGGCUGACACGGACGGCGAGAAGAUCAGUUUGUCAAACGGGCUAUGCACCAAGGUGAAUCGGUUUCGAUGCAGCCGUGCAGGAGAGUGCUUCUGUUGUUUGACAGGGUAUGACUGCUACUUUACAAUGGAUGAGUGCAAGAAAGAGUGUAACAAAUCCUCGGCUUCAGAAGACAUACUAGUGGAGAUGACAUCCCCUCCUUUACCUGCUCCUUAA